AACACGUCAACAAACAAAUGAUAAAAUGAUAAAAAUCUGAAAAUGCAGGAUUCCAUCACUGAGUCAUUCAAACUCGGGCAGCGAGUCCACUUAGCAAAAGAUCCUAGACGAGUUGGCACAGUGAAGUACAUUGGAGCCGUAGAAGGAUAUUCAGGCACAUGGGUUGGCGUCGAUUGGGACAAUGGAACAAUGGAUCGCUUAACGGAGUUCAAUAUUUUCAGGCCAACUCGGAACGAUCCGGGUCAUUCGUUCGGGCCCAGAAUCUAAGUCCAGGAGUUUCGCUUACAGAUGGUCUGUAUAUCAGAUACAAAGGGGAAGAAGAGGAUGAAAUGUGUGUGCUUUCAGCAAGUAACAGAAGGGUAUCUGUGGAAUUUGUUGGAAAGGAGAAAAUCAACUAAUUUGGUGCCAAAUUUGAAGGAGCUAUACCUGACAGGAAAUUUACUUUCCGAUGGAAGUGGUAUCGAACUAUCAAGAUGGAGAGAACUGACAAAGGAGAAUGGUAAAGUGGCCAACUUGGAGAAGUUCACACAACAUUGCAUGGAAUAUCAUUUUAUUGUAAAUACUGUUUUGGUAGAUUGCACAGCAGACUCUAGGGUUGCAAGCUAUUACCACGGAUGGUAAUGAAAAAGGAAUUCAUGCGAUUACCUCAAACAAAAAGGCAAAUUCAGGGCCAGUCGAUCAGUAUCUAAAGCUGAGAGCUCUUCAUCGUCUAUCCUAAACAUGUUACUUCUAUGAAGCAACUGUUGAGCUGGUCUUCCAACAAUCAGAACUUUAUGAGAUCUUCUUGAAACUGGAGAUAAAAUGUUGCAAAUUGAAGGAAUUUUUAGGUAUGUAAUCUGAAGGCGUUGAUAUAUGCUGGAGUGGUGAGACAAGAAGGGCAUGUUGAGUUGCGAAGGUAUAAGAAAGAUCGUUCAUUUGCACAGCUCUCAGGAUUUGACAACAUCAUGCAUUCACCACUAUGAGGUACAAGGAACAACAGCCUUUAGUAGUUCACGGACCUGGUGCUGGUGCUCAAGCCACAGCUAGUGGAGUAUUCAGCAACAUGGCGAUUAGCCUCAUAUCCAGGCGCUCCAUUGUAAUAACCUCACUAUCAUAAUUAUCGUGUAUUCACUUUAGAUUUUAUUUUUCCUUUCAUUUGGCCUAUUGAUUUUGUGCUCCUGAGAGCUAUGCAGCGUAGAGUAGUUUUUGCAACCAUGUACUUGGCUCGGUGGUUCUUUGAAUCCAUUACAAUGAAAUUUAAAUAGAUGAAUUGAUGAUGAAGAAUGUGGACUUGAAA
RNA transcript from Mercurialis annua (annual mercury), 1276 nucleotides. It is a transcript of the gene named bifunctional aspartokinase/homoserine dehydrogenase, chloroplastic-like, with no coding region annotated. The transcript has 6 exons. NCBI's taxonomy places the organism in Eukaryota, Viridiplantae, Streptophyta, Magnoliopsida, Malpighiales, Euphorbiaceae. The record is from RefSeq and is a predicted model, not a curated record.